GAUGAACGCUGGCGGCGUGCCUAAUACAUGCAAGUCGAGCGAACGGACGAGAAGCUUGCUUCUCUGAUGUUAGCGGCGGACGGGUGAGUAACACGUGGAUAACCUACCUAUAAGACUGGGAUAACUUCGGGAAACCGGAGCUAAUACCGGAUAAUAUUUUGAACCGCAUGGUUCAAAAGUGAAAGACGGUCUUGCUGUCACUUAUAGAUGGAUCCGCGCUGCAUUAGCUAGUUGGUAAGGUAACGGCUUACCAAGGCAACGAUGCAUAGCCGACCUGAGAGGGUGAUCGGCCACACUGGAACUGAGACACGGUCCAGACUCCUACGGGAGGCAGCAGUAGGGAAUCUUCCGCAAUGGGCGAAAGCCUGACGGAGCAACGCCGCGUGAGUGAUGAAGGUCUUUGGAUCGUAAAACUCUGUUAUUAGGGAAGAACAUAUGUGUAAGUAACUGUGCACAUCUUGACGGUACCUAAUCAGAAAGCCACGGCUAACUACGUG
RNAcentral lists this ribosomal RNA (497 nucleotides) under uncultured bacterium. RNAcentral describes it as "partial 16S ribosomal RNA". It matches the Rfam family "Bacterial small subunit ribosomal RNA", at positions 28 to 507 of the family's 1533-position model. The record is from RNAcentral.